This 441-nucleotide ribosomal RNA is filed under the name uncultured bacterium. RNAcentral describes it as "partial 16S ribosomal RNA". It matches the Rfam family "Bacterial small subunit ribosomal RNA", at positions 338 to 795 of the family's 1533-position model. The record is from RNAcentral.
CCUACGGGAGGCAGCAGUGGGGAAUAUUGGGCAAUGGGCGCAAGCCUGACCCAGCAACGCCGCGUGAAGGAUGAAGGUUUUCGGAUUGUAAACUUCUGUCGCGAGGGACGAAGAAUGACGGUACCUCGUAAGAAAGCCCCGGCUAACUACGUGCCAGCAGCCGCGGUAAUACGUAGGGGGCAAGCGUUGUCCGGAUUUACUGGGUGUAAAGGGAGAGUAGGUGGCAGAGCAAGUCCGAAGUGAAAACCCAAAGCUCAACUAUGGGAAUGCUUUAGAAACUGCUCAGCUAGAGUGCAGGAGAGGCAAGUGGAAUUCUUAGUGUAGCGGUGAAAUGCGUAGAUAUUAGGAGGAACACCAGUGGCGAAGGCGGCUUGCUGGACUGUAACUGACACUGAGGCUCGAAAGCGUGGGGAGCAAACAGGAUUAGAUACCCGUGUAGUC